UACUCCACCAGAACAUGAACUCGCC
This 25-nucleotide non-coding RNA is filed under the name Mus musculus (house mouse). The record is from RNAcentral. Lineage: Eukaryota; Metazoa; Chordata; Mammalia; Rodentia; Muridae.